Long non-coding RNA from Acinonyx jubatus (cheetah), 11091 nucleotides. RefSeq lists it as uncharacterized. The record is from RefSeq and is a predicted model, not a curated record. NCBI's taxonomy places the organism in Eukaryota, Metazoa, Chordata, Mammalia, Carnivora, Felidae. The transcript has 6 exons.
UGGCAGCCUGUAGGUUUGUAUGGAAAACAAGUAUGGCACAGUGAAAAAAAUCCUUCUCUCACCCUACAGAUACCUGUACGGAGAGCUUGGGAGGCUUUUCCAUAGACUCAUUGUCAAGUGAAAGUUAAGCCCCCACUCACUGGGAAGCGAAGGGUGAAGAAAUAAGAUACUACAUGGCUCUGCUUUUUAGUGCAUGGAUCAGAGACACAUCUAUGAACAACUGCCUACGCAAAUUGAUUACUGGGCAAUAUCAUUUCUCAGUUUUUAUGGGUAAAUGAGUGCUUCUCGUCAUGGACCUAACUUGUGCAUCAAUUUAGUUCCAUUAACUUGCUUUGGAUUCAUGGAAAUUCUGAACAGAGAUGUGAGAAUGACUACAAUUUGAGGUAUCUGUUAAAUACAGCAACAUGACAUCACAAGGAUUGUUUUUGAGUCUUCUGAAUGAGAGAUAAUAAAAUGGUGAAAUCUUAGGACUGGAAUAUCAAGGAAGAAAUAGAGACAACCAUGGUUUCCAGACUCUUUUAUUGGAGAAUAAUUCAUUUGUUGGUUUGUUUGACAGAAAUGGGAUUAUUUGAAGAGAUCAGCACAAGGAAUAAUGGUUUAUAACUUUUCUGAGAUCAGGACUGUAUGUGAAAACAGAGCCAUCCUGAACACUAUGAAGAAAUAUUUCUUUCAUUCAAAGGAAAACAAAGUAGAAGGAUUCAGGAAAGGAUAGAAAACUCAGUGGUGUUGAGGAGUAUGUAAAUACCUUAGGCCUUUAAGGAAAUUCUACUGAAAUCAACAUAACUAAGGUAAAACUUUUCUUUUUAAAAUCUGUCUGUUUUUCAAAAUAUAAGAAUCAGAACAUCUUUUAAUUUUAAUUUUUUUUCAAGUUUUUAUUUAAAUUCAUGUUAGUUAACAUAGAGUGUAACAUUAGUUUCAGGCGUAGAAUCUAGUGAUUCAUCACUUACAUACAACACCCGUUGCUCAUCACAAAUAGAUUUGGCACAUCUUAACUAAUUAUUCAUUUUUAAAAAUUCUUAUAAAAAAGCCCUUCAAGGUAAACUAUGCAUAGUUUAAAUAUCUUACCCUUCAAGGCUCAUCUGUGCUAUGGAGUAAAAUUCUUGCUUUAUGGAAAUGGAAUUAUGCAAACGUGAUAACCUAAACAAAGAUGCACUUUUUGCUAUUUGCUCUGAAAUUCCAUCCUUUUCCUGUUUCUCUGAGUUGCAUUGAUUUAAAGAGUUAAUUUCCUGUGUAUUUUUAAAAGAAAAUAUUAAAAAUCAAUGGUCUUGCAUGCCCAAAAAUGUGUGUGAAUGGAUGAUUGUGUUUUCUAAUAAUCUAGGUAGUCAAUUGAGAACCUGGUAAGUACUACAUCUUUCCUGAAAAUCAUUUGGCUCAGCUUUUGAACAGAAUCUCCUAAGGGCUUUGCUAGAGAGGAAGGUAAAUCUCAUUUUAGGCUGAGAUUGAAAUGGAGGAUAUGUCACUCUGGAAAAAAGUCCAUAUAUAUAUCUUUUUGUUUGCCUGAUGUUUGCUCAGCUAGGGUCCCACCUAAUGGGCAAUCAACAAAACAAGCCGAGGGAAAUUCUAACAGCACAAAAGGCUUGAGUAGGAAGAUGGUCAGAGAGGAUCAGAUAAUUAACCCCAAGAAGUUGGGUUCAGUGCCUUUAUUGGGGGGAUUACAGAGAUAAAAUAAGGUCAUUUCUCUCGUAUAGAGGAAGACGGAAGGGUCAAGAACUUAGAAACAUGGAGAGGGAAGAGAACAAGAAAGGACAUGGUGCUACUCUUCAUUUUCUGCUGUGUGACAAAGGUCAAAAUGAUGGCACUUCUGGACUUUGAAGAGAUGAUCUUUCUUUAUUGGGAUUAAGUUCCCAAAGUCGUAUUCACUGAACUUCCUAAAAGUAGCAAAGGACAUUUCAGAAUGAACUUCUAAAGCACAAGGGUCCUUGACUCCAUGCUGGAAGUUUCCCAGCUGAACUAAGCAGUAAAGAACUACUCUGGAUAAUUCAUUUGACCAAAACUGAAUUAAGCAAUAUGGAUUAUUUACAGACAGCCUGUAGGGUUGUAACCUCUCAGAAUGUCAAAAGACAUUCAUUACACAUAAAAAUAAGACUUCUAUAUUCUCAACCAAAUAUACCAAGAAUAUCUAUUCAAUAAUAUCUAUAAAUCUAAAUUCAGAGAAUAUGGUAAUGAUUUUUUUCUUAUGUAUUAUACCUAUUUUACCUACAAUGUCAUAGGAAUUGGGGUUUUUUUUUGUGCAGUUUUAGAGAGUGCAAUCAUUUUCUUAUAAUAAAUACCUUAGUUCCUCCACAAUCCCAUGGAGUAUCCCAUGCACAUGGAACCCAAAUCCAACUGAUAUAUGAAGAAGAAUAUUUCAUUUGAUUUAAUGACCAAUUCUCAUUUUAUUUUGACCAUAGUUUCAAUUGGUCUUUAUAAAGCCUUUUUUUGAGUCCCAAUAAAAUCUGUCCAUGGAAAAACCUGCUAAUUUUUGUUCUGAGCUCUUGCAAGUUGUUUUGUGUGUGUGUGUGCGUGUGUGUGUGUGUGUGUGUGUGUAAUACAUGUAUAUAUGUAUAUACAAUACAUAUAUAUUAUAUAUAGUUUUUGUUUAUAUAUAUAAAAUCUUAAUAUUUUCUAUUUUAUAAUAUUGAGGUUAUAGUUCUAACUUGAGUUAGGAUAAAUCAAUGAGGACUAUAUGAUGCUGAGUGACCAAUUUAAAAGUUCUUGCUGAUUACAAAGACACAGAUAAAUUACUAUAUGUUAAUAGGCAUGUUUUUUAGAUGGGGAUAUGAAUUUUGUAAAUAUUGACCCAUUCUGUUUAUCACAUUUUUUUCUUGCUUUUUUCCAUAUCAUAGCCCUAUCAAAUAAAUCUUAGGAAUUAGCUACUGUGUUUGAAAAAAAAAAUUAAGUUUGGAAAUCCACAGGAUUGAAGAAAGUACUUUCUUUCAUCACAUUUGAAUGGAAAAUAAGCUUAGGAAUUUUACACAUCUUUGAAUUCUAGUGACAUCAACAGUUACAAAUCAAGUUUCUUCCCUGCCUUAUUUGGGAUGUAUGCAAACUGAGUUAAUAUAGUUCGUCAUUUUUCACUCAGGGAAAUUUUAUGACUUCAUUUUCAGAAAUGAACUCAAAUUCAAUUCUCCCUUGAUUGAGUGACUAAGACAGUGACUUCACCAUGGUAUAUUGUGGAGGAGAAAAAAAUAUCGAUGAGUCACAGAAAGUUUUGAUUAAAGCACAGAUUUUAUUCCACUUAGUGAUUCAUUUGUGACUUUUCUUUCUCUUUACUGCUUAAAGUGUCUCAUUCCCCCUCACUCAAGGCAAGGAGAACAGGGGCUGAAAAAAUAUGAAUGUCUUCUCUCUUCGCUGUAAAAAAGGCAGAGAGGUCAGGAUCGUAGAGGAGAGGUUUUCCUAAAUGGGUUCUAUCCCAGAGUUCUCAGGGUCUCCCUUUUUAAAUAAUGAAGCUAAGGUAAUUAUCAUGUGGAAAAUACCAUUUUUUUCAGAAUCUACAAGAGAUCGAUUACGGUAAAAUCAGGGACAGAAUUGGUGCUCUGCUUCUACUGAUAUUCUUGAGGUAAUUACUGAGCUUGUUUCUGUGUGCAGACCAACCCUCCAUCUUCUCUUCAUGGUGUUAUGGCAGCCUCCCUGCCUCACUGGCAACUGAGUUUGCUGAUGUUGAGGUUAUAUUUGUGGGUGCAUGUGUGGUGAUGGUGGUAAACAAUUCAUAAUAAUUUUAUUUAGAUCAGUGAACAAUUUUCUGCUAUUUUGACACGGUCUUACCAUACUUGGGAAAACAUUGUCCCGAAGUAAAUGGUCUAAUUCAUUUUUUCUAAGAGGAUCAGACCUAUUAAAUUAUAUAUAAGAUGUAGAGGUUUUUUUUUUAUUCUGAGAAAUAAGAGUUUAAAUAACUAGGAUAGGCAUAUAAUUUUCGGUUAUAUAUCACAUGAUAUGAUUAUAUGGUGGAAAUAUUGUAUUUAAGAAUGUCAGGGAGAAAUGGGCUUGGCAAGCACCAUGAGGUUCUUCUGAGGAUUUUGAAGCCGUCUUUUGCAUUAUAAAAAGGAAGAAGAUAAAAACGCCUCUUAUUGGUCCUCAGGUCAUGCUAACAAUUAGAAAACGCAAUGCAUGAAAACUCAAAAUUUUUUUCAUUCACUCAUGUAAUAAAUAUACCAAAUACCUUCUCUGUUUUCUGUGAAUGAUAUAUUGUUCUGGACUACAUAUUAAAAAGCAGAUAGACAAAGUUACCGAUAUUCUUUGAAGUUGUGUGAUUUCUUAAGAAAUCACAAAUACCUAAGAGAAAAUGUAAUUUAAAAGAAUAAGCUUUAUUUCUAUUUGUUAUAUGAUAGCAUUUCAUAAUUAUAAUCACUAAACUAAUAUCACUAAACUAAUAAAAUCUAACCAAAUAACAGCAUUUUGGGUGGCAUAAAAAAUAGCAUCUAGGAAUAGAUACAGAAAUAUGUAAAUGAACUAAACUCAACUGUAUGCUAAUUGGCCAGCACACCUCCCAUUUAACCAACAGUGAGUUAUUCCACAAGUAUCUGGAAAUCAAAUGGUGACUAUAUAGGUGUAAAUGCAUUUCUACAUUAAUUCUCCAAUAAUAGAUAAUCUCCAACAAACAGAAACUUGGAAAAUAAACAAGUAUAAGGGCAGGAAGGAUAUUUUGUUUGUGAUUUUAAUAAGUACGAUGUUUUUUGUGUUUAGAUGCUGUGGAAUUUCAUCAAUCACACAAAGUAUAACAAAAGUAAACUUUGACUAAAUUUUCCUACACACACUGAGCUUUUGGUGUCACUACAAAGAAAUUAUUCUAAGGGCAAAUAUCUACUAUGUCUGUUUUAUUAAAAAGCAUUUUUUUGUUUUUUUGCCCACAGUAACUGCAUUGUCAAUUCAAAGUAUGUCAUGUCUUUAUUCAUAUGCAUUUCCCUGUUUUGCAUAUAUCUGUAUUUAUAUAAUAUAUAUAUAUACCCAUGUAUGUAUAUUUAUUUUUUCUACAGUUUUAUAAUAAUACAACAUUUCCAUCAAGAGUAUAAAGAAAUAAUUGGGAUGCAUUAAAAUAUAUGACGAUAAGUGAAAUCAUGAUUCUUCCAUGUAAAAAUCUACACAAUAUUCAUAGAUCAUAGAACUAAAAUGGUUCUUAGAGAUGUUUUUAAUAAAAUCUAAUUUGUAGAAAUCUUCAGUUAAGCAACUGGUACACUAUCACAUGAUUGGCUAUAUCUACUUUCAAAAAAAUUGUAUAUAGUGUUUUUUAACUUUGUAUGGCAUAUAAAGCACUCACAUGUAGAAAGAAGAAAAUUUCUGAUACUGAAAUUCAAUGUUGUUUCCAAGAUGAGCUAUUACUAAAACACUGGACAACUAAUGACAAAGUCAUAGACUUCUCUUGUGUUUAUUUUUAAGUUUUAUCCUCACGGGUAUCAUAGAUUUAUAGGACUCCAUAAGUGUAUAAACUGUAUGUCCUCAUGGCGUAUUUGUUACAUUAAAAAAUGAAAUUUUACUUCAAAAUAAAUAAUACAGUUUUCAGAUAUUAAAAAAACCAGCAGUCACAGAUCACAGGCAUGAAAAUGGAAAUGUUCUUUUUGUACUUAACUCUUCCUGUAAAACUCUUCCACUUUUCAUGUUUUAAUCCACAAAACAGAAUCCAGAGAGAGCAUCCAAAUAGCACUGUCAAUGUGAAUUAUUGAAGAGUUGAUGGCAAAAAAAUGAAAAUCAUCUUACUAGGGCUGGAAUUAUUUAAGAAUUUUGUCUCUCUUGUUGCUUAUUCAUAAUUUUGACCACCUCUGUAUGACAACUUUUUGUUCUGAUGAUUUUAGUAAUUCUAACUUCUUACACAGGCUCUCCUUUGGAAAUUAGAAAAAUACUGUUGCAGGCAUCAAGGUUACUAAUAUUCAUUUCAUUCAUAUAUAUGGAGUCAUGUAAAAGUUCACUGCGAUAUCUACAUUAUGAAUAAGCAUGGUAACAAACGUGGGCCUUGGUUAAAGAUCAGGGUAAAAUUCUCUCCUUGUAGGUCCAUUAUAGAUGGACUUUUGUUUCAUGUACCUGGUACAUUAAAAUCAUUUGUAGCAGUAGGUAGUGACUAUCGGUGCUUGGAUCAUACAGAAAUUUGAAGGUAUCAUGUGGUUUUUAAAUGGCACUUGCAUGGUGACAAGAAAACUAAAAAUUGUAUUUACUCUCAAAUUGCUUAAAUAUCAAGGGCAAAUUGGUUGGCAGAUGACAUAACGAAUGUUAAUUCCAGGCCUCUCUUCUCCCUUCCAAGCCAGAAUUUUCAGUGAUUGGAGGUCUUAAGGAGGAUGGAAUAGUUCAGUCAAUAGUUAUACCCUAUCUCUAGCAGUUAGACAUGAAUGAUAUCUUAUAACAGAAGUAACUCUUUGGACGAGGAUUGUAAGAAAAUGAUCAUUUAUUCAAAUAAGUGUUGGAAAUAAUAUUUGUUUUGUUUGUGAGGAUCCCAUAGAUUUUGACACUUCUUCCUAUACUGGCUUAAGUGUAAAAUAUUGGCACUUAAAUGGUAUUCUCAUAUUAAGUCUGAAAACAUUGUCUCUUUGCUUAGACAAAUACCUUUAAAAGAGGGUAAUUAGUGACCAGUGGCUAAGAAGACCUCUGUGUUGAGAGGUUAUGCUAAGCCUCUUGAAGAUUCUCCAUGUAAACAAGACAGACCACAUCACUCAUUAUCCCUCCUUUGUUUACUUAGAAAAAGGUUCAAAGUAUUUAAUGAGAGGAUUACCCAUACUUCAACUCUAUUGAAAAAGAUUAAUUGAUAUUUUCCUGUUGGUGGUUUCACCACUUGCAUUUGGCUUCCACUCUCCUAUUGUUACUGAUGCUGUGAUCAACAGAGCAAAGUUGCUCAAAGGUUAUCCAAAUUUCACAGCUUAACGUUAUUCAAACUAAUUAUAUUUUUUCCCUGUCCCUUAGACCUUGAGUUCCAAGGACUGUUAAUUUAUCAUUCGAAGAGACUAUGUUUUAAACUUUACUUGUCUGAAUUGAAAAUUUUAUGACUAAAUUCUGGCUAUUAUUGGACGAUUUUGCUGACUAUGUUAGAGAUGAAGUACAGCACCUACUCAAAAUGGAAUAUUAAAACAUAGAGCCAAAUUUCUGUGUAAACCUAAACAUAAUGAAUUUUUUACACUAAAAUGUAUAUAGGAGAUUUUGAAAGAUAAUUUCAAUAUCUUACCGUCAUCUAGGGAGCACUAUAUAUAUAUUUUAAAAAUCCCACCAUUUCGAGAUACAAUGCUGUGAGAGAAAUCCUUACAAAUUUUCCCCCCAAAAUGUGUGUAUUAUGGACAUAUGGCUGCAUAUUUGGAUAACACCAUUUGCAUUUUUCAAACUUGCAUUUUUUUAAAGCACUAGCUUGGCUUUUGCUGUCAGAAUGGCAAACUGCUAGUGUAUUCAUCUAAAAUUCCUAGUUUAACUCUUUGUCACUUUAGCAUUUUAUGUAAUGCUAAUAUGUUCACCUUUUCUUAAAAAAGUAACCUAAUAUGUUGGAGGCAGUAAAAUAAGAAAGACUUUUCAAACCAUAAAGUUUAAUAAUAGGAGGAGUCACAUCAUCGUGUGAAAAAAAAAAGGAUAGUGUCAAAAUUUGAUCUUAGAAAAAAUGCUUCUGAAAAUUACUAGGGGAAAAGAAAGCAUGUUAAAAUGAUUUUACUUCAGAUUAAUUCCUUGGAAGGAUUUGCGGUUUUUAUGGUUUUCUAGGGUUAUUUUGCAAAAGCAGUUUUAGUUCCUGAACAUUUCAACAUAACACACUAGAAUAUAGAACCCUAAAAAAAAAUAAUGUUGAGAAAAUAAAGAUUACAAGGACCCCAGCAUUAGUAAUUUAUGAGAUCACACUUCCAAGUUUUCACUUGCUCUAAGCUUUCAAACAUACAUCCUUAAAAUUCUUAAAUUUCUUUAUACCAUCCAUAAAUUUCUUUGUGAUGUACCGUUAAACAUGAGGCAUACUGUACGCGUGGCCUGCCACAGCAUUUGAAGAUGUGCUUAUUACUUCCAUGUCCCCCAGACCCCAAGGAGCAAUUUUAUUCAAGAGAAAUCAGGUACCCACUGUAUGGCUGAAUAAUUUACCUGUCUUACAUAAUUUAUACAUACCAAAAAUUAUGUUAUCUAUAGAACGUGUUUUGACUCCUAGAUUAAAUUUAUAUAAAUUAUACUUUCAAAUCAACAUUACCAAUAAUCUUUUAUUCUCAGAUAAUCACUCUAAAGGUCUAUGUUACAUUUUCUAUAUAUGUUAAAAUACGUACUAUUUUAAAUUUUGCAAUAUUGUGCAUAUAUUUGGACAUAUUGCAGACAUAUUUGGACAUAUUGUGGACAUAUUUGGAAUAUUUCAGUUUUUCUCUUAAUUGACAUACUAUAUGGCUACUUAUAUUCCCAAGCCACUUCAAUCUGCUUCUUUCAAAUUAUGUUUUUGCAAUGUGUUUAUCUAAUUAUUACUUAUUUAUUAGUUUCAGCAGAAGUAUUUAAUUAAUUAGCAUCUGAUGUAAAAAUGAAAGUAAAUACCAGCACGUAAAUGAUGCUGCUGAAAAGGUACAAAUUUUUUUGGUCGGAACACUGGCAAAUGUAGUUAACCUUAUUGAUUUACUUGACUACAUUAAAAUAACAUAAUAAAAACUAUUUCACCACAAGACAUUAUAACCUGACCACUGUGUCUGCUAUUUCGCCUUCAGAACUUAAAUGCAUAGCCUAACAUCGAACACAUUGAUUCUUUUAAAUAGUCAUACUCUAAUAAAUAUGACAUUAUCACUCCAAGUUCAGUUGUGUUAGGUGAUUAGAGAGUAGGGAUGUAAUCAGAGGAGGUGCUUUGAAAGAUAAUCUUUAUUCUCCUCCUUUGAAACACACAGAGAGGGGGGACAGUGGAAUAGCAGUAACUGCUGAACUGGCUGUUACAUAAUCUGUGCUAAGCGAUGAAGUACUGAUACUUAAAAAGUGAUCAUCUGUCCCUUUAAAUACUGGGGAUGUCAGUACACAUAUAUUUUUAGUCGCUACUGCUUAGAUGGUUCUUCGAGCUAAUUUUUAAGAAAUUUUUAAGAGUACAUAAGAAAAAUAUCUCUAAGGAUGCUUUAUUCAAUCACUGAACACUUAUUUUCAUUAUUCAAUAUGUGGCAGACAAAAUAGCAGGAACCAGGUAAACAAAGAUGAAUUAGAGGUGAUUCUAGCUCCUAGUCUAAGGCUAAAGUACUUAUUUUAAGAUCAUUAGCACAAAUUGUUACCUAUUCACAUGGAAUUCGGAAAGAAAAUUAAGGUCAAAACAGACUGAUAGGACUAACACAAGUUCCAGUAGUUUGGCCGCCCAUGAGAUCUUCACCCGAGUUUCAACAUUAUUGCAAAGGAACAGAGAACCACAAGCCACUGUUGGAAGAUGAUAAAAUAUAAUCAUAUUCUAAUAAUAUAUUUUAAAACAAAAUGUACUUAAUCCAGCUAUUAAAAGGCAUAACUUAAACAGAAGGAACACAAGACUUAAACAAAGCAGAAGACAGCUGUCCAGAAAUUAUCAAUUGCUAAAGCACACAGAUUGUGAUUAAAUUUUAAUGCAGCUUUUAAGCAAAGAUUUCGCUUAUCAGAGAGAAAGAAUCCCACAGAAAAUAUUGUUAUUGAUUUCAUCAUUUUAGAUGUAACUGAUCCUUUAAGUAAUUUUUGUUGCUUUCAAUACUACUUUUUAAAGUGACUGCUUAUCCUGGGCAAACCAUUAGAUGGUAUGUUCAUUUAAAAUUCUAAGCCCAAUGCAUAAAUUGUUCUCCAGUGCACUCAAAGUCACAUCUGUUGAAAACAAAACACAGCAUUCAACCCUUUGAAUAAAAACAAAACAUAACUGUAGAAUAGCUGGAUAGUCAAAUCAUGUAAAUUAAAUGGCAUUGAAAAUGAUAUUUUUUAUUGAUUUUUUUUCAGGGAACUCAGUCUUUGGAAUUAAAAUAUAUUGAUUACCUUUUAUGUAACCCAAAUUAACAAUAAAGUAACUGGAUCUGCUAGAGCAUCACACUAGUUUUAGACUCAGGGAAUAGGGAAUAAGAAUACAUUUUCCUUUUUUUUUUUAACAAAUAAAAUGCAGCAUCGGCUCUCUGCAUGAAGCACAUAUAUUAUUUUAUCAAUAAAAUCAAUUAUUAAAAAUGAGAAAUCACUAUAGUCAUACCUUAUAUUCUAAGGGACCAUAAUUAUUUAGCCAUGUGUGAGAUUGUUAAGGUCAAAAAAGCACCUUUAGUUAAAAAUUUCAGAAAUAAGUAUACAUUUAGUUAUAUAAUUAGUUAUAUGCCUUCAUUUAUUAAUUCAGUAAGUAUAUACUGAAUGCUAAGUACCAGACAGCAAGCAAGGCUCCAAUAUGUAGGCACUAUGUAUAUAUGUUCUCAAAAUAAAUGAGCCUGUAUGGACUUGUGUGGAAGGAAUAAGUAUUAACUCAGUAUUUUUUUCUAAUGCAAAUUGUCAAGCAGUUUAUUAAUUACUCAAUCUGAAGUCAACCGAAAGAUCUGUAUAAUAUAGUGUCUCCUUAAAAGACUUUCAAUUUUCCUAUUUAGAAGGAUGGGACAUACCUUUUACACCAAAUGAGUUUUAAUAUAGCAAAAACAUAUGGUCUAAGUUGUAGUAACUAUCCUGCUUUGAUAUUUUUUAAAUUCACAUUUUAUUACCCUAGUUACACUUGCAGCUAUUAAAUCAGUAUUUUCUAUUGAUUGGAUUAAUAUUGGUCCGAUUGGUUAUUGGCAAUAUAGAAGAGCCAAACAGAGUAAACUAUUCCUAUGGGUCCCAAACAUCUGAAGAUAUAGAUAGAUAUAGUUAUAUAGAUACUGAUAUAGAUAUAAAUAUGAGAUAAUUGGUUGAAUUUUUCACUUUUUAACUGUGUGAUGAUUAGUCCAACUGUUAGUAAAUCAAGGAACAUUGUUUCCAUAUGCUUAUUUAUUUCCUCAUUUAACACAGGUCUAAGAAAUUAUACAAUCUUGUAUGGACAUACACAGAGCUAGAAGAUUUCAUCUUCCAGACAAACAGUAUCUGUGUCAUUUACCCCUACAGUUAGUAUUUUCUGAGUAUUUUAAGGUCAAUAAGAUGUUUUAAUUUGUUGAUGAUUAACUGAAUUCUCACUUCCAAAAAAAUCAUUUUGCUUAAUGAUUAACCUACAUUGAUCAAGUCACAUAAAGCCCUUGGACAGUCCAACACAGACCACAAUCCAAA